UUGGCGACCUCUAUGUUGGCGACCUUGCCUUGCCGUGGAUUGUUUUUAGUUGUUUGUAUUAUUUGUGCUUUUUAAGAAUAUUUUUUUAAUUCGGAUACUUUUAUAAUAGCUUUAAUAGUAUUAUUAACAUAGUGCAUAAAAUGGUGUCCUGUUUUUAACGCAGUUGGAGUAGCAGAAACAAAUGUAGAUAAAAAAAUCUGCAGGAAUAACGUUUCAAUUAUGACAGAAGCUCAAAACAAAUGACUGUGAAUGAAAAGCCCUAUUAAAAGCUUUCCAGAAGAUCCUGCGAAGAAGACAUGAAGUAUAGAUCAGAUUUGUUAAUAGAGGAGUAUGUUCAAAACACUUUUUAGAAAAAGAUAUUGACAGAACUUCACUUUCAUCUGUUCGUUUGAGAGACUGUGCUGUUCCAAUAGCUUAUGUCACACAGAAUCAGCUGAGAGAAGUGGUCUACAAAAAACCAGAAAGGAAACGGAAUAUGUGGUUACGAAAAGCAAAAGAAAGGUUUACAAAGCAAAUGUAACACAUUUUUUUAUAAUAUUUAGGAAUGUCAGCAAAUUACAUUAAAAAAUGUAUGUAAAGAUUUUUUGCAAUAAAAAUGUUUAUAUUUA
Molecule: long non-coding RNA, 608 nt
Organism: Diabrotica virgifera virgifera (western corn rootworm)
Lineage: Eukaryota; Metazoa; Arthropoda; Insecta; Coleoptera; Chrysomelidae
Exons: 3
Source: RefSeq, a predicted model, not a curated record